This 77-nucleotide transfer RNA is filed under the name Alphaproteobacteria bacterium. Its description in RNAcentral is "tRNA-Met". It matches the Rfam family "tRNA". Rfam says of the family: Transfer RNA (tRNA) molecules are approximately 80 nucleotides in length. Their secondary structure includes four short double-helical elements and three loops (D, anti-codon, and T loops). Further hydrogen bonds mediate the characteristic L-shaped molecular structure. tRNAs have two regions of fundamental functional importance: the anti-codon, which is responsible for specific mRNA codon recognition, and the 3' end, to which the tRNAs corresponding amino acid is attached (by aminoacyl-tRNA synthetases). tRNAs cope with the degeneracy of the genetic code in two manners: having more than one tRNA (with a specific anti-codon) for a particular amino acid; and 'wobble' base-pairing, i.e. permitting non-standard base-pairing at the 3rd anti-codon position. The record is from RNAcentral. Lineage: Bacteria; Pseudomonadati; Pseudomonadota; Alphaproteobacteria.
GGGCCAGUAGCUCAGUUGGUAAGAGCAAUCCGCUCAUAACGGAUUGGUCGCUGGUUCAAGUCCGGCCUGGCCUACCA